UAAUGGACCAUGAACCCCCUUCCACAGUGUGAGAGGAGGCAACCUCUAGCUUCCUCCCCAAACCCAGUGCAAGUGGGGGCCAGGGCUGCCAUAGUUGCUAUUGGUCCUAUUUACCUCCUGUUGUACGUUUGGUACGCCUGAUAUUUUUGUUUAUUAUGCAAAUGAAGCCUGGGGAGACAAAACUGUGACUGCGUGUAUUGUGUUAUGUGAUGCAAUCAUGUGAUGUAUUCCUCUUCUUCACGUGGCCGCGUCACUGGCCCAGCCGCCCUGGCGUCAGUUUGAGUUGCAGUGAUGCAGUUAGCGCUGUGUUCCGGUUACUCGGCGUUGUUUGCUUACUUUUACAAAUCCUUUGUGAACAUUUUGUGUUUUCACGUUGUUUUUGGUGAACCCAUUAUGAGUGAAGAGAAAAAUAUGGUUAUUCGUUCAGAUAGUGAUGAAAAUGAUAAGGAUAACACUCCGAAGAGAAAAAAACAAAAGUGUACAGCUUCUUACGAGAGAAAAUUGCCGUCGAAGUUGUUGACACAUGAAAAAUUUUCUGGCUGGCUAGUAGUUAGUAAAUACAGCUCAGGUAAAGAUUUCUGCAAAUUAUGCAAUUGCGAAACUGCUGGUAGUUUAAGUCAAAUUGAAAGAAAUGAAAACAGAAAAGCAUCAAAAAAACCUAAAAUCUACAAAACAAACUUCAAAAGUAACUGACUUUAUGAAACCUGGUCCAUCCUCUAUUCACUCAGCACAGAUAGCAGCUGCUGAGCUUAAACUGUGUGGAUUUAUUGCAGAACACAAUUUACCUAUAGCCCUUUUGGAUCAUUUGCCUGGCCUCGUUGCAAACGUUUGUCCAGAUUCAAAAAUAGCAAAGGAUAUCAAGUGUGCUAAAACCAAAGGAACAUACAUUUUUUCUAAUGUGAUCAGUGAACAUGACUUCAGUAACCUAGUUUCUAAGUUGAAGGUGACAAAAUUUUCUCUUAUUAUUGAUGACAUUUCUACUAUCAAGCAACUUGUUCUGGUAGCUAGACAUUAUGAUACUGAAGUUCAAAAAACAGUGGACAAAUUUCUAACAUUAGAAAUUAAAGACACAACUGCUCUUGGAAUUUAUAAUUGCAUAGAGGUGUUUUUAAACAGUAAUGAAAUCUCCUUUGAAAACCUAAUAGGAUUUGCCAGUGAUAAUGCUACUGUUAUGAUGGGAAGCAAAGGAGGAGUUCAGCAUCUCUUAAAACAGAAAAUUUCUCAUAUCUUCAUACAACCUUGUGUUUGCCAUUCAUUGUACUUGUGUGCUCCUAAAGCCUGCACUGCACUGCCACAUUAUUUAGAAGAGUUAGCCAGAAAUAUUUUUUCAUAUUUGAGCAAUAGUCCUAAGCGCCUAAAUGAAUAUAAAGAAUUUCAAAAAUUUACAAAUACCAAUCCUCAAAAAAAUAUCCACAUUAGCUACACAAGAUGGCUUUCCCUUGAGCAAGCGGUGAAAAGAAUUUUAGAACAAUGGCCUGCACUUUUAAUGUUCUUUACAUCUGCUGCAUUAGAAGAUGGCAUUCCUAUGGCUUCAAGAAUUCUAGAGGGAUUACAAAAUCCAAUUACAAAAAUGUAUUAUGCUUUCUUAGCUUACAUUUUGCCUGACAUCAAUAAGCUCAAUUUGGAGUAUCAAGCAGAAACAUUUAGAAUUCAUAAGUUAAGGAAUUCUAUUAAUACUAGUGUUAAAGGGAUUCUCAGUAAUUUCAUCAAGCGAGAAAAUUUGAAACCUAAUGGUAUAAGUAAAAUCAAUAUUAAUGAUCCUUCAACAUAUCUCAGGAUAGAUGACAUUUAUUGUGGUGCCACUGUAGAAAGCAUUUACCUGGAUAAUUCAAGAAAAAUUUCCCGGAAAGAAUUGUAAGAAUUUCGAGUAAAAAUUUUAAAUGUCUAUGUUUGCCUUACAAAGCAGAUGUUUCAGCGCUUUUUAUCUUGUGAAUUGUUUGCAAAAUUGGAGUUGCUUAAGGCGUUGGACCCAGCUAAUGUUAUUGAGGGAAGGCCUAAAUCAAUUAUCCCACUAGUUAUGAAAUUUCUAACCUAGUCGAUGAAGAACAUUAUGAACAAAUAAAUAAAGAAUGGAGGGAGCUGACAACGCAAGAUCAACCUCCUAAUGCUGAAAAAAUGCCUGAAAAUUUUUGGUUUAACAUAUCUCAAGAAAAAUGCGGUGACGAAUAUCACUUCUCUCUGUUGUCAAAAUUUAUGAUCAAUCUUCUUUCAUUGCCUCACUCUUCAGCAGCUGCUGAAAGUUUUCUCCUUACUCAACAACAUUAAAGUUAAAAAUCGCGCAUCUCUGAAAACGUCCACCUUAAAGGCGUUAAUAAGAUCUAAAUCUUUACUUCAAGACAUUAACUGCACAACGUGGAAUCCACCAAAAGAGCUUUGUGAUAGAAUGCAACAAAAAAGAUGGUAUAGUAAUGAAGCAGUUGACGAAAAAGUUCUCUUUUAACAAAAUAUAAGAACAACAGCAGAAGAAACAAGAUCACCCAAAACAGGAUCCUCUUUUGCAGUGUUCUCAGUCUGAUUUCUCUCUCUUUGUGGAGUGUCAUCAAAUGAUUGAUAUUUCCUUCUUUUUGCCAGAUCUCUUAAUAGAAGAUACAUUUUUCCUGUAUCAACAAACUUCUCCUGAUAAAUAUCUAAUGUUAGAAGUCACUGAUGCUGUAUAGAAUAUUAAUAAGACCUGUUUUAAAUCAUGGACACCAAGCCUUUAAUUCAACUUCUAAACCAACCAUUAAAAAUUAAAGUAAAUCAUAGCACAAGCUCUAUGAAUAACAUAUG
Non-coding RNA from Pelodiscus sinensis (Chinese soft-shelled turtle), 2769 nucleotides. NCBI's taxonomy places the organism in Eukaryota, Metazoa, Chordata, Testudines, Trionychidae. The record is from RefSeq and is a predicted model, not a curated record.